CUCUCUCUCUCACGUUCAUUUUCUUUUUCUCUCUUUUUGAGACUUCUUCCUUCUCCCACUCCUUCUUCCUAUUUUUCUUCCUUCAUCCUCUUCUUCUUCCUUCUCCCUCUCUUUCUUCAUUGUUAUUAUUGAGUUUCAAAUAGAUUCGAUUUUGAUUUCGAUUUUGUGUUUGUUGUUUCAGGUUUGGUGGUUUUGGCUCACGUGGAAAUAAACCCUGGGAAGAUGUUCACUAUGUUUCAUAUUGUGUUUCCUUGGUGAAAUUUUAGAGGCACGCGGUAAGCCAGUAGUGGAAGGUACGAAUCACAACAAAGCUUUGGUUCAUUUGUUUAUUUAUUCAGCAUCUCUAACAUUGUUUUUAAGAUUUUCGUUUGGUUCCGAAACUACGAACAUGACUUAUCUGAGAAUAAGAUCCAAUGCUUCCAUGGCUUAGGGUUUGCACUGAGGAUGUGUCUUUUACAAAUCAUCUUUCUCCUGAGAAAGAUGGAGUUGGCUCAAGUAAAAACAAGCACGGGGAUGGCGAUGUUGGAUGGUUUGAGGUUGAGAAACAUUUUGAGAUUCUUACGAAUUCGAGGGAGGAUGGUUUGCUUCAUCGCCGGUAUAUUAUUAGCUUGGUAUAACUUUUACCAGAACCAUCGCCGAUUUCGGUGUUCAAUUUCCAAUUGAUAUGAAGGUAUUCAGUGUUCAAUUUUUUCCGCAAGUUGGAAUUAAAGCUGAAAAUUCUCAAGGAUAUUACUUAUUCAAUUCUGCACGCAUGGUGUUUGAUAAAAUGUCUCAGCAACCGAGAUUUGUUUUUCUAUGAAUGCAGUUAGACAAUGGUGAUAUCAUAUGCUUUCAUAAAGCUUCUGCAAUGGAUAACGGGAGAAAUUAAAUAUACCGUUAAAACACCUGUAGUUACUAACGAUGGUCAACCGAUUCAAGAUCCAAUUAUAUCGAGCGUCUGCUGCGUAGAUUAGUAACCUCUAAUCGAUGCCUUCAACAAAUACUCCAACCUGAUACCGCACGAAUCACAGAGCCAUCUCUGACGACAAAAGAUAAGUUCAUCACAUAUCUAUUUUUCAGAUUAGUCAUAUUUUGGCUUGGGGAACAAAGACACAAGAACAUGUGAGAAAUUGAUCUUUGUAUCUGAUGUUGUGAAGGAGCAUUGGAUAACCUAUGGUAGAAAUUUAAAUGCUUAGGCUGUUGUUAGCCUGGGUUGUAAAUGGGCAAAAGUGAACCAUAUGAUAAAAGUUCCAUUGAUACAAGUUCACUGUUGCUUUAUAAAAUUCUUUAUGAAUAACAACUGAAUCUUUAACCGGUUUUAUGAAUGACUUACAACAACUUUCAUUUAAACCUCUGAAGCAACAAAGUUUCAUGGUAUCAUUAUAAUUUUUACGAAUAACUUAAAGUAAUUAAUAUAACUUUGUUCGUUCAUUUCGAAGUGCAUUUGCAAUUAAUUUUGGGCAUUUGUGUGUUUCGCAGGGAAUUGCGCUUUUAACGUUUACUGUUGUUGCACGUGGAUUGAUUAUUUUGUUACCGAUGCUGAGACUCAUUCCUAUUGUUACUGAUGCAACAUCUAUCGUUGACCUAUUCACCGUGGUUCCCAGUGUUUGUGACUGCCUAUAUUUGUCAUUACAAUGGUUAGGAAACUUGAAUUCUUGAAUGCAUUUCUUGUGUUUACAAUUGCUGCCUGUUUUUGGGUUGAGCUUGGAUAUGCAAAGCCUGAUGCUAAACAAGUUGUGAAGGGUCUUUUUUCUGCCGCAACUAAAAGGGAAUAGAGCUACUGGUCUUGCAAUUUCACUUCUCUGUGCUAUGGUUAUGCCCCACAAUCUCUUCCUGCACUCGGCAUUAGUACUUUCUACGAAAAUACCCUGAUCUGUUCGUGGAAUCAAAGAUGCUUGCAUAUUUUACAUGAUAGAAAGUGCCUUUGCUCUUAUGGUGGCCUUCCUCAUAAAUGUUUCUGUCAUUUCUCACUCAUUUGUAGCUUAUUUUGAAAAUGGUGUUUGAGAGCUAUGCCUUGGACAAUAAGAAAUGAGGAUGUUUAAUUGAAUAAACCGAUAAUGUGCUAAGAUUUUACAAAUAUAUAUCACUUAUGGUAGAUGAAAGGAGUCGUUGUCGUUGUUAGUGUUGCAUUUCCAGUCGGUUGCUCUCUGUUUUGAUUAUGCCGGAUGUAAUCGGGUGCAACAACUCAAAUGAGGAGAGUUAGAAAUCGCAAUUAUUCGGAUUGCUUUAUAUGAAACAUUGGAAUUUAAAUUUUGCUUUCUGCAUUGCUGUAGUGGAUUGUGUUACCGAAAAGCAGAUGAAAAACCAGAAGAUGAAAACGUAGAUUCUUAGCUGUCUAUUGAAGAAGGAAAUUCUGAUCGUCGAACUAUGCCUUUUAUAAAUCUGAAACGAAUUUCAAGAACAGCCAAUAGAAAUGAAAAUAAAGGAUGAAGUCAAUCAUCAUAGUUGGUUUGUUCCGAAUUAUCUUCGUCAACCGAAUGGCGGGAGUACUACAUAUGUGCAAAUGAUGAUUUUAAUAUUGGCGGGAGUACUACAUAC
Vicia villosa (hairy vetch) is the source of this 2517-nucleotide long non-coding RNA. RefSeq lists it as uncharacterized. The record is from RefSeq and is a predicted model, not a curated record. The transcript is spliced from 12 exons. Lineage: Eukaryota; Viridiplantae; Streptophyta; Magnoliopsida; Fabales; Fabaceae.